GAUGAACGCUGGCGGCGUGCCUAAUACAUGCAAGUCGAGCGAACGGACGAGAAGCUUGCUUCUCUGAUGUUAGCGGCGGACGGGUGAGUAACACGUGGAUAACCUACCUAUAAGACUGGGAUAACUUCGGGAAACCGGAGCUAAUACCGGAUAAUAUUUUGAACCGCAUGGUUCAAAAGUGAAAGACGGUCUUGCUGUCACUUAUAGAUGGAUCCGCGCUGCAUUAGCUAGUUGGUAAGGUAACGGCUUACCAAGGCAACGAUGCAUAGCCGACCUGAGAGGGUGAUCGGCCACACUGGAACUGAGACACGGUCCAGACUCCUACGGGAGGCAGCAGUAGGGAAUCUUCCGCAAUGGGCGAAAGCCUGACGGAGCAACGCCGCGUGAGUGAUGAAGGUCUUCGGAUCGUAAAACUCUGUUAUUAGGGAAGAACAUAUGUGUAAGUAACUGUGCACAUCUUGACGGUACCUAAUCAGAAAGCCACGGCUAACUACGUGCCAGCAGCCGCGGUAAUACGUAGGUGGCAAGCGUUAUCCGGAAUUAUUGGGCGUAAAGCGCGCGUAGGCGGUUUUUUAAGUCUGAUGUGAAAGCCCACGGCUCAACCGUGGAGGGUCAUUGGAAACUGGAAAACUUGAGUGCAGAAGAGGAAAGUGGAAUUCCAUGUGUAGCGGUGAAAUGCGCAGAGAUAUGGAGGAACACCAGUGGCGAAGGCGACUUUCUGGUCUGUAACUGACGCUGAUGUGCGAAAGCGUGGGGAUCAAACAGGAUUAAAUACCCUGGUAGUCCACGCCGUAAACGAUGAGUGCUAAGUGUUAGGGGGUUUCCGCCCCUUAGUGCUGCAGCUAACGCAUUAAGCACUCCGCCUGGGGAGUACGACCGCAAGGUUGAAACUCAAAGGAAUUGACGGGGACCCGCACAAGCGGUGGAGCAUGUGGUUUAAUUCGAAGCAACGCGAAGAACCUUACCAAAUCUUGACAUCCUUUGACAACUCUAGAGAUAGAGCCUUCCCCUUCGGGGGGGCAAAGUGACAGGUGGUGCAUGGUUGUCGUCAGCUCGUGUCGUGAGAUGUUGGGUUAAGUCCCGCAACGAGCGCAACCCUUAAGCUUAGUUGCCAUCAUUAAGUUGGGCACUCUAAGUUGACUGCCGGUGACAAACCGGAGGAAGGUGGGGAUGACGUCAAAUCAUCAUGCCCCUUAUGAUUUGGGCUACACACGUGCUACAAUGGACAAUACAAAGGGCAGCGAAACCGCGAGGUCAAGCAAAUCCCAUAAAGUUGUUCUCAGUUCGGAUUGUAGUCUGCAACUCGACUACAUGAAGCUGGAAUCGCUAGUAAUCGUAGAUCAGCAUGCUACGGUGAAUACGUUCCCGGGUCU
RNAcentral lists this ribosomal RNA (1373 nucleotides) under uncultured bacterium. Its description in RNAcentral is "bacterial SSU rRNA". It matches the Rfam family "Bacterial small subunit ribosomal RNA", at positions 28 to 1381 of the family's 1533-position model. The record is from RNAcentral.